This 1369-nucleotide ribosomal RNA is filed under the name uncultured bacterium. Its description in RNAcentral is "bacterial SSU rRNA". It matches the Rfam family "Bacterial small subunit ribosomal RNA". The record is from RNAcentral.
AGAGUUUCAUUCUGGCUCAGGAUGAACGCUGGCGGCGUGCUUAACACAUGCAAGUCGAACGAUUAAACCGCCCUCGGGCGGACAUAGAGUGGCGAACGGGUGAGUAACACGUGACCAACCUGCCCCGCGCUCCGGGACAACCGCUGGAAACGGCGGCUAAUACCGGAUACUCCGGGAGGGCCCCAUGGCCCUGCCGGGAAAGCCGAGACGGCGCGGGAUGGGGUCGCGGCCCAUUAGGUAGACGGCGGGGUAACGGCCCACCGUGCCCGCGAUGGGUAGCCCGGACUGAGAGGUCGACCGGCCACAUUGGGACUGAGAUACGGCCCAGACUCCUACGGGAGGCAGCAGUGGGGAAUUUUGCGCAAUGGGGGAAACCCUGACGCAGCAACGCCGCGUGCGGGACGAAGGCCCUCGGGUUGUAAACCGCUUUCAGCAGGGAAGAUCCAAGACGGUACCUGCAGAAGAAGCUCCGGCUAACUACGUGCCAGCAGCCGCGGUAAUACGUAGGGGGCGAGCGUUAUCCGGAUUCAUUGGGCGUAAAGCGCGCGUAGGCGGCCGCCUAAGCGGGACCUCUAACCCCGGGGCUCAACCCCGGGCCGGGUCCCGGACUGGGCGGCUCGAGUGCGGUAGAGGAGAGCGGAAUUCCCGGUGUAGCGGUGGAAUGCGCAGAUAUCGGGAAGAAAACCGAUGGCGAAGGCAGCUCUCUGGGCCGUCACUGACGCUGAGGCGCGAAAGCUGGGGGAGCGAACAGGAUUAGAUACCCUGGUAGUCCCAGCCGUAAACGAUGGGCGCUAGGUGUGGGGGGACGAUCCCUCCGUGCCGCAGCCAACGCAUUAAGCGCCCCGCCUGGGGAGUACGGCCGCAAGGCUAAAACUCAAAGGAAUUGACGGGGGCCCGCACAAGUAGCGGAGCAUGUGGCUUAAUUCGAAGCAACGCGAAGAACCUUACCAGGGCUUGACAUGCCGAUGAAGCCGGGGAGACCCGGUGGCCGAGAGGAGUCGGCGCAGGUGGUGCAUGGCUGUCGUCAGCUCGUGUCGUGAGAUGUUGGGUUAAGUCCCGCAACGAGCGCAACCCCCGCCCCGUGUUGCCAGCAUUCAGUUGGGGACUCGCGGGGGACUGCCGGCGUCAAGCCGGAGGAAGGUGGGGACGACGUCAAGUCAUCAUGCCCCUUAUGCCCUGGGCUGCACACGUGCUACAAUGGCCGGUACAGAGGGUUGCCACCCCGCGAGGGGGAGCGGAUCCCGGAAAGCCGGUCCCAGUUCGGAUCGCAGGCUGCAACCCGCCUGCGUGAAGCCGGAGUUGCUAGUAAUCGCGGAUCAGCGCGCCGCGGUGAAUACGUUAAAGGGGCCUUGCACACACCCGCCCGUCA